This 601-nucleotide ribosomal RNA is filed under the name Pseudomonas azotoformans. RNAcentral's name for it is "bacterial SSU rRNA". It matches the Rfam family "Bacterial small subunit ribosomal RNA", at positions 33 to 627 of the family's 1533-position model. Lineage: Bacteria; Pseudomonadati; Pseudomonadota; Gammaproteobacteria; Pseudomonadales; Pseudomonadaceae. The record is from RNAcentral.
GUGCCAUGGCGCAGCUAACACAUGCAAGUCGAGCGGUAGAGAGAAGCUUGCUUCUCUUGAGAGCGGCGGACGGGUGAGUAAUGCCUAGGAAUCUGCCUGGUAGUGGGGGAUAACGUUCGGAAACGGACGCUAAUACCGCAUACGUCCUACGGGAGAAAGCAGGGGACCUUCGGGCCUUGCGCUAUCAGAUGAGCCUAGGUCGGAUUAGCUAGUUGGUGAGGUAAUGGCUCACCAAGGCGACGAUCCGUAACUGGUCUGAGAGGAUGAUCAGUCACACUGGAACUGAGACACGGUCCAGACUCCUACGGGAGGCAGCAGUGGGGAAUAUUGGACAAUGGGCGAAAGCCUGAUCCAGCCAUGCCGCGUGUGUGAAGAAGGUCUUCGGAUUGUAAAGCACUUUAAGUUGGGAGGAAGGGUUGUAGAUUAAUACUCUGCAAUUUUGACGUUACCGACAGAAUAAGCACCGGCUAACUCUGUGCCAGCAGCCGCGGUAAUACAGAGGGUGCAAGCGUUAAUCGGAAUUACUGGGCGUAAAGCGCGCGUAGGUGGUUUGUUUAAGUUGGAUGUGAAAUCCCCCGGGCUCAACCUGGGAACUUGCUUU